RNAcentral lists this ribosomal RNA (406 nucleotides) under uncultured bacterium. RNAcentral describes it as "partial 16S ribosomal RNA". It matches the Rfam family "Bacterial small subunit ribosomal RNA", at positions 30 to 526 of the family's 1533-position model. The record is from RNAcentral.
AUUGAACGCUGGCGGCAGGCCUAACACAUGCAAGUCGAACGAGUGGCGGACGGGUGAGUAAUGUCUGGGAAACUGCCUGAUGGAGGGGGAUAACUACUGGAAACGGUAGCUAAUACCGCAUACCAUCGGAUUUGCCCGGAUGGGAUUAGCUAGUAGGUGGGGUAAAGGCUCCCCUAGGCGACGAUCCCUAGCUGGUCUGAGAGGAUGACCAGCCACACUGGAACUGAGACACGGGCCAGACUCCUACGGGAGGCAGCGAGGGGGAAUAUUGCACAAUGGGCGCAAGCCUGCUGCGGCCAUGCCGCGUGGAUGAAGAAGGCCUUCGGGUUGUAAAGUACUUUCAGAGGGGAGGCGUUACCCGCAGAAGAAGCACCGGCUAACUCCGUGCCAGCAGCCGCGGUAAUAC